Molecule: ribosomal RNA, 406 nt
Filed under: uncultured bacterium
Lineage: Bacteria
Description: partial 16S ribosomal RNA
Rfam family: Bacterial small subunit ribosomal RNA
Source: RNAcentral
AUUGAACGCUGGCGGCAGGCUUAACACAUGCAAGUCGAACGAGUGGCGGACGGGUGAGUAAUGUUUGGGAAUCUGGCUGCUAGAGGGGGAUAACUACGGGAAACGGUAGCUAAUACCGCAUACUAUCGGAUGAACCCAAAUGGGAUUAGGUAGUUGGUGAGGUAAAGGCUCACCAAGGCGACGAUCUCUAGCUGGUCUGAGAGGAUGACCAGCCACACUGUGACUGAGACACGGCCCAUACUACUACGGUAGGCAGCAGUGGGGAAUAUUGAGCAAUGGGGGCAAUCCUGAUACAGCCAUGCCGCGUGAAUGAAGAAGGCCUUAGGGUUGUAAAGUACUUUCAGCGGGGAGGCGUUACCCGCAGAAGAAGCACCGGCUAACUCCGUGCCAGCAGCCGCGGUAAUAC